CAUGGUUACCCCUUCAUGACUUAUCUUUUCUUUCAUGGCAAUUCUUCUACCUAAUUCUACACAGCAUAAAGAAGUCAUAUUUUCAUGCUUUUGCAAGUCUAAACUUCAAAUUCUCAGUUGACUCUCCUUUCCACACUUGUUCCCCCUGCAUUGGGGCUGACUUCCCUCUGGAGAGCUGGGUCAAUUCUUUUGUCUUCUUUGACUCUGAUUUGUUCUCUCAGCCUUGCCCCUGCUGUGCGACCUCCAUGGUCUAAGUAGGUCCCAUGUAACUGGGAGUGUUUUGCAUUGAUUUUGUACAGUUUCAGCUAUGAAAUGCCAAUCUCUAUUUGAUGACAUUCCAAAUGGGAUCCCUAACCUGAGUAUUAUUUUUUUUAUUAUUACUUGAGGUACUUCUCUAGCUUUGUUGGUAUGAAAUGGAAAAGCCUCUUGCCACACAGAAAAUGGGUCUACUACACCUAAUAUGUACUUACAUCCUUUGUGCUGAGGAGAAAGAGAAGAUACUUCCACUGUCUCCACAUGCUCUGAUACAAGCAACCAAGCAGACUACUUGAGGCAGUGAUCCUGUCCCCUCAGCUGCAAUGGAAUCUUCAGCUCUUCCCACAGGGAUUGCUCAAGCUCUGGUUGUGCUGAGCUCCUUGUGAGUGGAGUCAUCAGUCUCUUGGACGAGCAGAUUCUCUGUCACAGUGUCCAUAAUUUUUCCUGGCAUCCACCAAGGUAAGAGGGAAGUUAUCUGCAGCUUUGACAUGGAAAUUGUCCAGCUGGGUGUCCUUCGCUGUGAGUCUAAAACACAGCAGCUCUCUGGCCACAUGGUGCUGCUGGCAGAGCUGGCUGCUGUCACUCAAGGCUCACAGAGGCACCUGAGCUGCCUUGCUGCACUGCAAAAACCAUCUCAGUGCUCAGUGGCACCUCCCGACCCCUCGUCUCAGUGAGAGUCCUGCUGGCAGGGUCAGAGCAGCGGCUCAUCGGGAUCAGUGCUGCCCGCGCUCUCCACUCGCCCUGGCCCCGGCAGUCCUGGCCCCGCAGCCAUGCACACACAGGGAAUGGGAACUGCUGCCUGAUGUUUCUUGAGCUGCACCGCUGCUGCUGCUGCUGAAGACACCUUGAUGAAUGAACUAGUGGGAUUAUGGGCCAUAUUGGCCUGUGAGAGCAAGGUCAUGAAGGCAGAGGUGCAGAUGGUCCUGUCAGUCCUAUUUCUGCAUAUUUCUGGAAACCAAGGAAUCUUUCUUGAUCCUGUGAGGCACUGAGUUUGCAAAGUAAUGGUUUCUUUGUUGUUGUUGUUGUU
Oenanthe melanoleuca is the source of this 1282-nucleotide long non-coding RNA. RefSeq lists it as uncharacterized. NCBI's taxonomy places the organism in Eukaryota, Metazoa, Chordata, Aves, Passeriformes, Muscicapidae. The transcript has 3 exons. The record is from RefSeq and is a predicted model, not a curated record.